RNAcentral lists this ribosomal RNA (501 nucleotides) under uncultured bacterium. RNAcentral describes it as "partial 16S ribosomal RNA". It matches the Rfam family "Bacterial small subunit ribosomal RNA", at positions 30 to 523 of the family's 1533-position model. The record is from RNAcentral.
AUUGAACGCUGGCGGCAGGCUUAACACAUGCAAGUCGAGCGGGGGAAGGUAGCUUGCUACCGGACCUAGCGGCGGACGGGUGAGUAAUGCUUAGGAAUCUGCCUAUUAGUGGGGGACAACAUCUCGAAAGGGAUGCUAAUACCGCAUACGUCCUACGGGAGAAAGCAGGGGAUCUUCGGACCUUGCGCUAAUAGAUGAGCCUAAGUCGGAUUAGCUAGUUGGUGGGGUAAAGGCCUACCAAGGCGACGAUCUGUAGCGGGUCUGAGAGGAUGAUCCGCCACACUGGGACUGAGACACGGCCCAGACUCCCACGGGAGGCAGCAGUGGGGAAUAUUGGACAAUGGGGGGAACCCUGAUCCAGCCAUGCUGCGUGUGUGAAGAAGGCCUUAUGGUUGUAAAGCACUUUAAGCGAGGAGGAGGCUACUUUAGUUAAUACCUAGAGAUAGUGGACGUUACUCGCAGAAUAAGCACCGGCUAACUCUGUGCCAGCAGCCGCGGUAA